RNAcentral lists this transfer RNA (73 nucleotides) under Desulfurococcus sp. It matches the Rfam family "tRNA". From Rfam's summary of the family: Transfer RNA (tRNA) molecules are approximately 80 nucleotides in length. Their secondary structure includes four short double-helical elements and three loops (D, anti-codon, and T loops). Further hydrogen bonds mediate the characteristic L-shaped molecular structure. tRNAs have two regions of fundamental functional importance: the anti-codon, which is responsible for specific mRNA codon recognition, and the 3' end, to which the tRNAs corresponding amino acid is attached (by aminoacyl-tRNA synthetases). tRNAs cope with the degeneracy of the genetic code in two manners: having more than one tRNA (with a specific anti-codon) for a particular amino acid; and 'wobble' base-pairing, i.e. permitting non-standard base-pairing at the 3rd anti-codon position. The record is from Rfam by way of RNAcentral. Lineage: Archaea; Thermoproteati; Thermoproteota; Thermoprotei; Desulfurococcales; Desulfurococcaceae.
GCCGCCGUAGCUCAGCUGGGAGAGCACCCGGCUGAAGACCGGGGGGUCCGGGGUUCGAGUCCCCGCGGCGGCA